UACGAAGGGGGCUAGCGUUGUUCGGAAUUACUGGGCGUAAAGCGCGCGCAGGCGGCUCUUCAAGUCAGGGGUGAAAGCCCAGAGCUCAACUCUGGAACUGCCUUUGAGACUGUAGAGCUUGAGUACGGGAGAGGUGAGUGGAAUUCCCAGUGUGGAGGUGAAAUUCGUAGAUAUUGGGAAGAACACCGGUGGCGAAGGCGGCUCACUGGCCCGUUACUGACGCUCAGGCGCGACAGCGUGGGGAUCAAACAGG
RNAcentral lists this ribosomal RNA (253 nucleotides) under uncultured bacterium. RNAcentral's name for it is "partial 16S ribosomal RNA". It matches the Rfam family "Bacterial small subunit ribosomal RNA", at positions 524 to 776 of the family's 1533-position model. The record is from RNAcentral.